CCAUUGCUGCACAAGAACAAGCAAGGUGUGGCAUUGCUUUAAUUUUUGUAUAAAUAGCCAAAACUGCAAGGUGGUAAGCACAGUUGCAUCCUAGCUGCAGUCUAAACAACAAUCAAACACUCACCAUGAAAUUCCUGAUUGCUUUCGCCGCCAUCUUGGCCGUUUCCGCUGCUGUAUAUGUAGCCCCAGUUGCUCAUUACUCCGCUGCUGCCUACACUCCAUACGCUACUCCAUAUGCCUUUGGAGCUCACCAUCUGUAUAAGCGUGGAAUCUACGCCGCUCCAGUAGCUGCCUACACCCAUGGUGCCUAUGCCCAUGGUACCUAUGCCCACCAUGCCUACGCUACCCCA
Molecule: long non-coding RNA, 350 nt
Organism: Dalotia coriaria
Lineage: Eukaryota; Metazoa; Arthropoda; Insecta; Coleoptera; Staphylinidae
Exons: 2
Source: RefSeq, a predicted model, not a curated record